GACGAACGCUGGCGGCGCGCCUAACACAUGCAAGUCGAACGGAAAGGCCACGCUUUUGUGGGGUGCACGAGUGGCGACGGGGUGAGUAACACGUGAGUACCUUGCCCUCGCUUUUGGGAUACCUCCAGGAACCUGGGGCUAAAACCGGAAAGGAGCUCCUGCUGCAUGGCGGCGGUGGGAAAGUUUCGGCGGUUGGGGAUGGACUCGCGGCUUUUCAGCUUGUUGGUGGGGUAGUGGCUUACCAAGGCAUUGAUGGGUAGCUGGCUUGAGAGGGUGACCGGCCACAUUGGGCUUGGGAUACGGCCCGGACCCCUACGGGAGGCAGCAGGGGGGAAUAUUGCACAAGGGGCGGAGGCCUGAUGCAGCAAGGCGGCGUGCGGGAUAACGGCCUUGGGUUUGUAAACCGCUUCCGCCUGGGACGGAGCGUGAGUGACGGUAAUUGGUGAAGAAGCACCGGCUAACUACGUG
RNAcentral lists this ribosomal RNA (468 nucleotides) under uncultured bacterium. RNAcentral describes it as "partial 16S ribosomal RNA". It matches the Rfam family "Bacterial small subunit ribosomal RNA", at positions 28 to 507 of the family's 1533-position model. The record is from RNAcentral.